RNAcentral lists this ribosomal RNA (372 nucleotides) under uncultured Glomeromycotina. RNAcentral describes it as "LSU rRNA". The record is from RNAcentral. Lineage: Eukaryota; Fungi; Glomeromycota.
UUGAAAGGGAAACGAUUGAAGUCAGUCGUACCGGCGGGUAAUCAGCCUUUUGGGUGUGAUUAUGUGGGGCGUGAGGAGUUAAUCACCCUCAUCUUUGCAUAUUCGUGCACUUUGGGUGUACUUGCUCGUGUGGUAGGUUAACAUCAAUUUUGAUCGUCAUAAAAUGAUUGGGGGAAUGUAGCUUCGAUCUCGUAUUGAAGUGUUAUAGCCUUCGGUAGAUGUGAUGAUUGGGAUUGAGGAUUGCAACGGAUACCCUUCGGGGCUACCUGUCUGAUCUCUGAAAGUUGCUCUGGUGCUGAAAGCUUGCUUACGGUAUCAAAGUUGACGUUCAACAGGUUAGAACGGGAUAAAUUCGUUAAGGAUGUUGACGUA